GUCUUUUUGAUAAUAAUUUAAAGUCUAACCUGCCCAAUGAAAAUUUAAAUGGCCGCAGUAUUUUGACUGUGCAAAGGUAGCAUAAUCAUUAGUUUUUUAAUUGAAAGCUUGUAUGAAUGGUUGAACGAGAAAAUAACUGUCUCAAAUUAAUUUAAUUAGAAUUUUAUAUUUAAGUUAAAAAGCUUAAAUAUAUUUAAAAGACGAGAAGACCCUAUAGAGUUUUAUAUUUAAAUUAAUAAUUUAUUUUUUAUUAAUAAUAUUUUAUUUAAAUAUUUUAUUGGGGUGAUAAAUAAAUUUAUUAAACUUUAUUUUUUAUUUAACAUUAAUUUAUGAAUAUUUGAUCCAUUAAUAUUGAUUAUAAGAAAAAAUUACCUUAGGGAUAACAGCGUUAUCUUUUUAGAGAGUUCAAAUCGAAAAAAAGGAUUGCGACCUCGAUGUUGGAUUAAAGAAAAUUUUUGGUGUAGAAGCUAAAAUAUUAAGUCUGUUCGACUUUUAAAACUUUACAUGAUCUGAGUUUAAACCGGUGUGAGCCAGGUUGGUUUCUAUCUUUAAAAAAAUUAAAUAUUUUAGUACGAAAGGACCAAAUAUUUAUAAAAUUUAUUUUUUUUUGAAUAU
This 615-nucleotide ribosomal RNA is filed under the name Ochthebius viridis fallaciosus. RNAcentral's name for it is "partial 16S ribosomal RNA". The stretch from base 379 to 537 matches the Rfam family "Bacterial large subunit ribosomal RNA", at positions 2473 to 2632 of the family's 2925-position model. The record is from RNAcentral. Lineage: Eukaryota; Metazoa; Arthropoda; Insecta; Coleoptera; Hydraenidae.